GUCUGUGGCCAUACCACCCUGAACACACCUGACCUCAGAAGCUAAGCAGGGUUAGGCCUGGUUAGUAAUUGGAUGGGAAACAGUACAGUACUAAAAAGGACAAGAUU
This 107-nucleotide ribosomal RNA is filed under the name Saimiri boliviensis boliviensis (Bolivian squirrel monkey). Lineage: Eukaryota; Metazoa; Chordata; Mammalia; Primates; Cebidae. The record is from RNAcentral.